RNAcentral lists this small RNA (103 nucleotides) under Marmota monax (woodchuck). The record is from RNAcentral. Lineage: Eukaryota; Metazoa; Chordata; Mammalia; Rodentia; Sciuridae.
GCUGGGCCUGGUGGUGCAUGCUCGUAAUCCCAUCCACUCAGGAGGCUGAGGCAGGAGGAUUGCAAGUUUGAGGCCAGUCUUAGCAAUUUAAACCCUGUCUCAA